GAUGAACGCUAGCGGGACGGCUUAACACAUGCAAGUCGAGGGGCAGCAUAGGGUAGCAAUACUCUGAUGGCGACCGGCAAACGGGUGAGUAACGCGUAUGCAACCUACCCUGUACAGGGGGAUAACCCGGAGAAAUUCGGACUAAUAUCCCGUAAUAAUAUCCGGAGGCAUCUUUGGAUAUUUAAAGUUCCGACGGUACGGGAUGGGCAUGCGUAACAUUAACUGGUUGGUAAGGUAACGGCUUACCAAGGCUAUGAUGUUUAGGGGUCCUGAGAGGGUGGUCCCCCACACUGGUACUGAGACACGGACCAGACUCCUACGGGAGGCAGCAGUGAGGAAUAUUGGUCAAUGGGCGCAAGCCUGAACCAGCCAUCCCGCGUGCAGGAAGACGGCCCUAUGGGUUGUAAACUGCUUUUCCAGGGAGAGAAACUUACGCACGUGUUGCGUGACUGACGGUACCCUGGGAAUAAGCAUCGGCUAACUCCGUG
This 488-nucleotide ribosomal RNA is filed under the name uncultured bacterium. RNAcentral's name for it is "bacterial SSU rRNA". It matches the Rfam family "Bacterial small subunit ribosomal RNA", at positions 28 to 507 of the family's 1533-position model. The record is from RNAcentral.